Molecule: ribosomal RNA, 417 nt
Filed under: uncultured bacterium
Lineage: Bacteria
Description: bacterial SSU rRNA
Rfam family: Bacterial small subunit ribosomal RNA
Source: RNAcentral
AUUGAACGCUGGCGGCAGGCUUAACACAUGCAAGUCGAGCGGAAACGGAGGUAGCUUGCUACCAGACGUCGAGCGGCGAACGGGUGAGUAACGCGUAGGAAUCUACCUAGUAGAGGGGGACAGCCCGGGGAAACUCGGAUUAAUACCGCAUACGCCCUAAGGGGGAAAGCAGGGGAUCUUCGGACCUUGCGCUAUUAGAUGAGCCUGCGUCGGAUUAGCUAGUUGGUAAGGUAAAGGCUUACCAAGGCGACGAUCCGUAGCUGGUCUGAGAGGAUGAUCAGCCACACUGGAACUGAGACACGGUCCGGACUCCUACGGGAGGCAGCAGUGGGGAAUAUUGGACAAUGGGGGCAACCCUGAUCCAGCCAUGCCGCGUGUGUGAAGAAGGCCUCGGUUGUAAGCACUUCUAGUAGGAGG